RNAcentral lists this transfer RNA (77 nucleotides) under Fidelibacterota bacterium. Its description in RNAcentral is "Candidatus Marinimicrobia bacterium tRNA-Met". It matches the Rfam family "tRNA". From Rfam's summary of the family: Transfer RNA (tRNA) molecules are approximately 80 nucleotides in length. Their secondary structure includes four short double-helical elements and three loops (D, anti-codon, and T loops). Lineage: Bacteria; Pseudomonadati; Fidelibacterota. The record is from RNAcentral.
GGCGGAGUAGCUCAGCUGGUUAGAGCAUCGGAAUCAUAAUCCGAGUGUCGGGGGUUCGAGUCCCUCCUCCGCUACUA